CGGAUCUCGAAAGCCUGUCCCAGUUCGGACUGGAGUCUGCAACCCGACUCCACGAAGUUGGAUUCGCUAGUAAUCGCGCAUCAGCCAUGGCGCGGUGAAUACGUUCCCGGGCCUUGUACACACCGCCCGUCAAGCCAUGGGAGCCGGGGGUGCUUGAAGUGCGUCGCCGCGAGGCGCGCCCUAGAGCAAAACCGGUGACUGGGGCUAAGUCGUAACAAGGUAAC
Molecule: ribosomal RNA, 224 nt
Filed under: uncultured bacterium
Lineage: Bacteria
Description: partial 16S ribosomal RNA
Rfam family: Bacterial small subunit ribosomal RNA
Source: RNAcentral